CGGACGGGUGAGUAAUGUCUGGGAAACUGCCUGAUGGAGGGGGAUAACUACUGGAAACGAUAGCUAAUACCGCAUAACGUCGCAAGACCAAAGAGGGGGACCUUAGGGCCUCUUGCCAUCGGAUGUGCCCAGAUGGGAUUAGCUUGUUGGUGGGGUAACGGCUCACCAAGGCGACGAUCCCUAGCUGGUCUGAGAGGAUGACCAGCCACACUGGAACUGAGACACGGUCCAG
This 232-nucleotide ribosomal RNA is filed under the name uncultured bacterium. Its description in RNAcentral is "partial 16S ribosomal RNA". It matches the Rfam family "Bacterial small subunit ribosomal RNA", at positions 99 to 334 of the family's 1533-position model. The record is from RNAcentral.